This 441-nucleotide ribosomal RNA is filed under the name uncultured bacterium. RNAcentral describes it as "partial 16S ribosomal RNA". It matches the Rfam family "Bacterial small subunit ribosomal RNA", at positions 338 to 795 of the family's 1533-position model. The record is from RNAcentral.
CCUACGGGGAGCAGCAGUGGGGGAUAUUGCACAAUGGGGGGAACCCUGAUGCAGCGACGCCGCGUGGGUGAAGGAGUGCUUCGGCAUGUAAAGCCCUAUCGGCAGGGAAGAAGCAAGACGGUACCUGACUAAGAAGCCCCGGCUAACUACGUGCCAGCAGCCGCGAUAAUACGUAGGGGGCGAGCGUUAUCCGGAUUCACUGGGUGUAAAGGGAGCGUAGACGGCCAUGCAAGCCAGGGGUGAAAGCCCGGGGCGCAACCCCGGGACUGCCCUUGGAACUGCAUGGCUGGAGUGCGGGAGGGGCAGGCGGAAUUCCUGGUGUAGCGGUGAAAUGCGUAGAUAUCAGGAGGAAUACUCAUUGCGAAGGCGACCUGCUAGAACAUAACUGACGCUGAUGCGCGAAAGCGUGGGGAGCAAACAGGAUUAGAUACCCUUGUAGUC